UACGGAGGGGACUAGCGUUGUUCGGAAUUACUGGGCGUAAAGCGCACGUAGGCGGAUUUGUAAGUCAGGGGUGAAAUCCCGGGGCUCAACCCCGGAACUGCCUUUGAUACUGCGAAUCUCGAGUCCGGAAGAGGUGAGUGGAAUUCCUAGUGUAGAGGUGAAAUUCGUAGAUAUUAGGAAGAACACCAGUGGCGAAGGCGGCUCACUGGUCCGGUACUGACGCUGAGGUGCGAAAGCGUGGGGAGCAAACAGG
This 253-nucleotide ribosomal RNA is filed under the name uncultured bacterium. Its description in RNAcentral is "partial 16S ribosomal RNA". It matches the Rfam family "Bacterial small subunit ribosomal RNA", at positions 524 to 776 of the family's 1533-position model. The record is from RNAcentral.